UGCAUAACUUCUGAAUGCAAUCCAAGGUAUUUAAUUCUCUCUGUAGGCUCACGGUGAAGUGAGAUGUUCUGAGGUCUGGAAGCAGAUGAUGAGAGGUUCACCUCCUCUAUCAGCAGGAAAACUUUGGAAGCUGAAGGAUUGGACAAUACCUACCAGGGAGGUUGGCACCACCAAGAUGCCUGUCUGCCUUGGAUGAUGAGGGUAGCUACACGCAAGGCAAGCUAUCUGAACCGGACAGCAAAGACCACUUUUCCCCUUAAUGCACCAUGCUGUGGGAGGUGUUUGCUGCUGCUGCUCUUACAGAGCAGAAAACCAGAGACCAUGUGGGUCCAAGCGGAGGUGCAGAGCCACGUGGAGGGUGGAUAAUUUGAGUUUUGGACACAGAGCAUCACGGGUGGUGCCUUGGCCAGCUGUGUGCUGAGGUCAGCCUAGACUUGGACAUCUUACGUUCUGCUCUUUGCCUUCUCCUUUUGUCCCCCUGAGCACACAAGAGGACCAAUCCUCUGUCACCCAUCCGGCACAAACAGAGA
Phasianus colchicus (ring-necked pheasant) is the source of this 530-nucleotide non-coding RNA. NCBI's taxonomy places the organism in Eukaryota, Metazoa, Chordata, Aves, Galliformes, Phasianidae. The record is from RefSeq and is a predicted model, not a curated record.